RNAcentral lists this transfer RNA (62 nucleotides) under Pontoscolex corethrurus. RNAcentral describes it as "tRNA-Ala". Lineage: Eukaryota; Metazoa; Annelida; Clitellata; Crassiclitellata; Glossoscolecidae. The record is from RNAcentral.
UGCAGCUUAGUUUAGCUAGAACAACCAACUUGCACUUGAUAAGAGAGAAUACUCAGCAGCAG